Molecule: ribosomal RNA, 624 nt
Filed under: uncultured fungus
Lineage: Eukaryota; Fungi
Description: eukaryotic LSU rRNA
Rfam family: Eukaryotic large subunit ribosomal RNA
Source: RNAcentral
AUAUCAGUAAGCGGAGGAAAAGAAAACAACUGUGAUUCCCUUAGUAACUGCGAGUGAAACGGGAACAGCUCAAAACCGAAUCUCCUUGGCUUGUACCAGGGCGAAUUGUGGUUUAUGGACCGAAUCUACGGUCGGGAAGCUCGGCGAGGUCCGUUGGAACACGGCGGCAUAGAGGGUGAGACCCCCGUAGCUGAGUGGAACGGUCAAUAAGAUUUGGCUCCUCGAGUCGCACUGUUUGAGAGCACAGUGCUAAGUGGGAGGUGAGUACCUUCUAAAGCUAAAUAUCAGUCUGAGACCGAUAGCGAACAAGUACCGUGAGGGAAAGUUGCAAAGAACUUUGAAAAGAGAGUUAAAAGAACCUGAAACCGGUAAUGGGGAAGGGUUCGGGCGAUCCGCGGUUGAUUUCUCUUCAGGUUGCGGAACGAAGGGAUUGCUGGGAGAAGAGCGAGUUUUUAACUAGCCUGACUCUCGGCGUGAACUUUGAGCUGCUUCUGUACUGGGAUAGGCCGCCCGGGACUGUUUGACUGCGCCUCAGAAGCCCCCGAUUUUGGUGCCGCCGCCGGAUUACUGGUGUCGGCCGAAGGAUCGGUGUGGUGGAGGUGCGGGCGAACUGAAUAAACCCAA